Molecule: ribosomal RNA, 605 nt
Filed under: uncultured organism
Description: SSU rRNA
Rfam family: Bacterial small subunit ribosomal RNA
Source: RNAcentral
CACAUGCAAGUCGAGGGGCAUCAUGGUCUUAACUUGCUAGGGUCGAUGGCGACCGGCGCACGGGUGAGUAACACGUAUCCGACCUGCCGUCUACUCUUGGACAGCCUUCUGAAAGGAAAAUUAAUACGAGAUGGCAUCAUGAUUCCGCAUGUUCACAUGAUUAAAGGGAUUCCAGUAGACGAUGGGGAUGCGUUCCAUUACAUAGAAGGCGGGGUAACGGCCCACCUAGUCUUCAAUGGAUAGGGGUUCUGAGAGGAAGGUCCCCCACAUAGGAACUGAAACACGGUCCAAACUCCUACAGGAGGCAGCAGUGAGGAAUAUUGGUCAAUGGGCGAGAGCCUGAACCACCCAAGUAACGAGAAGGAUGACUGCCCUAUGGGUUGGAAGCUUCUUUUAUAAAGGAAUAAAGUCCGGUAUGCAUACCCGUUUGCAUGUACUUUAUGAAUAGGGAUCGGCUAACUCCGUGCCACCAGCCGCGGUAAUACUGAGGAUCCGAGCGUUAUCCGGAUUUAUUGGGUUUAAAGGGAGCGUACAUGGAUGUUUAAGUCAGUUGUGAAAGUUUGCGGCUCAACCGUAAAAAUGCAAUUGAUACUGGAUAUCUUGAA